GCACCUUCUUGGCUGUAGGAAAACAAUCCUUGUACCUUCGUCUGUCGGGGUUUUUGUUACUUCGUAAGUGCUUAUCCAAUAAUUUACGUUUAAUGGGUAGCGUUAACUAACGUUUAAUGCAACUGGCAAACGAAUUCCACUUUUCGGCUAACCUGCUAUGCGCAGGAGUACUGGCACGGGAGAGGAUUAAAGUUAUUCGGAAUAGACAAUUGAUAUUGACAAAUAUAUUUAUUUCGUCCGAUUGAGUUAUAUUAAUGUAAAUAUGUUAUAAUUUAUUCGAUUUUAGUCGAUUAAAUGUAUUACAAUGGCGGUUAUAAGUAUCGUCGGAUACAAAUGUAGAUGUAUUAUACGGUAGUAUGUAGUAAAUAUGUAUGUAGAUAUGGUGAAUGUUCGAGCUACUGGUCGGAUAGGGUUUCAGAAAUGUUCGAUAAGAUUUACUUAUUGUGAUAGAAUUAAUGGCGAAAACUAAUUUCUACUCGUUCGGGUGAUUAACAUAAUACGGUUUAUGACAAACGCUAUCGUAAGAUGUAGGCGAUGGCGAUCGAGAUUGGAAGGAAUGCGUCUCGCAAUGUUGGGAAAUAAGUGAACUCGAGGGCGAAAAACUCGGUACAAAAUCUUCGCGAUGUAAUCCUAACUCUUCUCGGCGCCUCUUUUCUUCCCUUUCAACUUCUGUAGCAAUUAAUCGUUUGUACCAACGGCUCGCUUCUUGUUAAGGUGACUUUUAUCUUUUCGAUUCUUUCUGGAUUUCGUCAUUUAAUGUGAUCAUGGUGAAGUUAAUAUCACUCUCUGUGUGCGACUUGUGCGAUUUCGCAAGCCUUGCCCAAAGACGGGCAAUAUUUGCCACCAAUGGGGGAGGAAUGCGAAAAUCGAUAAGUGUUUUCGAUAAUUGAAAACACCGUUAACACAGGUUUAACACAGCGAAUAAUCAGUUACAUUUGACAAUUUAGAAAAUAUAAGUCGUUCUUGGCAACUAGUGGAGUCGUAAGCGAAAAAUGAUUAUUUUAAUUGGUAACUGGGUUCACUGUGGACAAUCAGUGUGGCCUCUUAGGCCUCGCCCAAGGAUGAGCAAUCUGCUAACGAUGGGAAGAGGAAAACGAAAAACCAUAGAUGUUCUCUGCGUUGAAAACACCGUAAUCACUGGUUGAUACAGCGAACAAUUGUAAACGAAAUAGAUCGAAAUUUGAUAAAGUUGUUUUAUUCCAGACAAUUUAUUAAAUCUUGAGCAAGAACGUUUAUUUCAAUUUUAUAUCGUGAAUUCAAGACGUUCGGGUGAAAUCUACGUGAAUUGUGUGCUUGAUAGUUUCAUCUGUCAACUAGAGCUGCCGACGGGUGCUUUUGUUCAGAGAUAACUUUGUUCGACUGCAAGUUAAAAGAGAAGAGGAUAUACAAUUUCAAAUUUCCUACCUUGAUUAUAUGUAAAGUCGAUCGGCGGUAUGUAUGGCUUGGUGAUGAGCCGAAUUUUGACAAUUAACUGUGAUUCCGCAGAUGAAGUGACAAUACGAAUGCUUAAUUCGAAUGAUGAUUUUUGAAACCCUUUUUAAUAUUCGACUUCGACGAACAGAGUGACGAUGUGAACGAUUUGAAUUUUGGAUGAAGACUCUUUGAAACCAUUUAACUUUUCUAAUAUUCGAUUUCGACGGACAGAGAGACGAUGUGAAUGGUCUGAAUUUUAAAUAAGGACUCUGCUACUCUAUGUUAUUCUCGCUUAUUUAUAAUUUCCUAAUUGUCACGUGAUGGAUCAUCUCUAUGGGAAUCACAGCAUUGCUACGUGACAAAUUAGGAAUAUUGUAACUGCCUACUUUCGCGGAUUGUGCUCAAGUUUCGUCUUCUUGAUUAUCUUAUUUACGCUAUUCCUAAUUUCUCAUAUUUCGUUGGGUAUUAGGGACAUGCAAGGUGCUUGAUAAAAUGUAGGUAUCGUAGUAGCCCGUAUUUUGCUAAUGUUGCGUCUGCGAUGUUUCCCAGAACUUCUCUACUGAUACCAGUGGAACGUGGCAGACGCGUGCCAACUUGUCCUUGCUGAAGUUGCAUCUGCGAUGUAUCUGCUAACUUCCUUGCUGAUGCCAGUGAAACGUUCUAGGCGCGUGGCAACUUAGUAUUUGCCGAGUCUUCUUAUGCGUUAUUUCCUGUUUCUUUCAAUAAAAUAUCAUUUUUUUUUAUAAUAGUAAGUUUAAUAUAUUAUUUCAUGGUUUGUUUCUCACGGCUGGUUUCUAUUAAUUUCUAAUAUUCUUGCGUUACGUUGUAUUGACCAUUAUUUAUUCUUUCUUUGUUACGAUCUUCCAUUUCUAUUAUCAUUUAUUAAAUAUUUAUUCCUUCGCUGAAAAUGUAAUUUAUUUUGUAACGCAUAAAGGUUACUAUACGCGCGUGUUGAUUAUCCAAAAUGGCCGCCUGUGAAUGUUCUACAGUUCUAAUCCUUCAACGCUGAGUCCUUUACUUGGAAUGGUUACAUGGUGCGCGUUUGGUAUCUCCUGGUUCUUCGUUACAUGUCUAACACUUAUCAAGACUACCUUUACUUAUCCUAGAAUUGUAAGUAUAUAUAUAGAUAUAUAUAAAAUACUAUAUUUUGUAAAUAUCUGUAUAGUAAAAUAGUCCGUCCACUAUCUUGUUUGCUAAGACCGCUUCGCUAACAUCGAGUUGUUUUGUUAUAAUGUCGGAAUAUUUCCUUGGUUUUCCAGUUUCUUGUUGCCGUCUUGACUGUUUCGGUAGUAUCUGGUUCAGUAUUCCAUAAGUAUUCACUUAAGUUUGGUAGUAGGCUUCUUGUAACUGCAUCGGCUUUAAUGUAUAUCUUCCGAUGUGAGUAACGAGCUUCUUAUUAUUAUCAAUUUCUAUUCCAAGAUGGUUUACAACAUUCUUGCCCUUUUUAGGUUAUGAUUUGCUACCUCGGUAUUUAUUACCUUCGAUAUCUUCAUACCGUCGUAUAUUAUGUUUUGCAAAGUUGGAUCCGUAGCCAAUUCUCGUGGAAUUCCUGCAUGCACACUUCCUUCUACGAUGAUUGGUUGCAUACAAAUCUCGUUAACUUAUAAGGUACCUUUUCUUGUUUGCUAAGACCAUUCCGUCGGUGUUGAAUCGUUUGUUAUAAUGUCACUAAUUUUUGACUUUCCAAUUUUAUCACGUCUUCUUGAUCAUUCCAGUAGUAUCAACUUCGAUUCUUCGUACACAUUUAAUCCAAUUUGGUAGUUGGUUUCUCAUAACUGUGUUGACCCUUGUAUAAACUUCUUCGAUGUGAGUAGUAAAUUAUCGUUGUCACUCACUUAACCUAUCUUAGUUAUUUCUUAACUCUUCCUGCGCUUAUUAAUUAAUUUUAUUUCUUCUUAGUAAAGACCGCUGUGUCAACGCGGAGUAAUUUCGUUAUAAUGUCAUUAAUUUUCUUGAUUUUUUUGGUUUUAUUUUCCAUUAGCGAACUGUAAGUUUGUUGUCGAGCAUCAAUUAUUGAUUGUUGUGCUUCGUUUAGUUUAAUUGAAAUAUUAUUGCAAGUCUUUAAUAGUAUUAUUCUCUUCCAUAUAUAUUAAGGCAAUUGAGGUUAGUUCAUUCAUUCGUUUCUGCUGACAGUCGUAUACUAUGUUCUACGGAGUGGGUCCACAACUUGUUUCUGCGAAAUUCCAGCAUGUAUGCUUCCUUCUACGAUGAUUAACUGUGCACUAGGUGCUUUUAACUUUCACUGCUUUUAAUCAUUUUAUUGAAUUAACAUGUUGUGUAUUUAAAUGAUGGUUAGAACACACA
RNA transcript from Bombus huntii, 3717 nucleotides. RefSeq lists it as uncharacterized. The record is from RefSeq and is a predicted model, not a curated record. NCBI's taxonomy places the organism in Eukaryota, Metazoa, Arthropoda, Insecta, Hymenoptera, Apidae. The transcript is spliced from 2 exons.